Molecule: ribosomal RNA, 623 nt
Filed under: Skeletocutis sp. MRNo530
Lineage: Eukaryota; Fungi; Basidiomycota; Agaricomycetes; Polyporales; Incrustoporiaceae
Description: eukaryotic LSU rRNA
Rfam family: 5.8S ribosomal RNA (bases 225-378)
Source: RNAcentral
CCUGCGGAAGGAUCAUUAUCGAGUUUUUGAAAGGGGUUGUAGCUGGCCUUUAACUGGGCAUGUGCACGCCUCGCUCAAUUCCAACUCUUUAACACCUGUGCACACACUGUAGGAAUGGUUUAUGGAAGAGGGAUUUCGGUUCCUUGGAAGUAGCCUUUUCUAUGUUUAUAACAAACUCUUAAAUGUAUUAGAAUGUUCAUUGCGCUUUAUAACGCAUUAUAUAUAACUUUCAGCAACGGAUCUCUUGGCUCUCGCAUCGAUGAAGAACGCAGCGAAAUGCGAUAAGUAAUGUGAAUUGCAGAAUUCAGUGAAUCAUCGAAUCUUUGAACGCACCUUGCGCCCUUUGGUAUUCCGAAGGGCAUGCCCGUUUGAGUGUCAUUGUAUUCUCAAACCCCUUCAUUUUUUGAAGUGGGCUUUGGAUUUGGAGGUUAUUGCGGGUUUGUAAUGAAUCCGCUCCUCUUGAAUGCAUUAGCUGGAAACCUUUGUUAGGCUGGCUUCAGUGUGAUAAUUGUCUGCGCUGUAGUCAUCUAACACUUUGUUGAGGAUUCCGCUUCUAAUCGUCUUGUAUGAGACAAUUUACUUUAUGACAUCUGACCUCAAAUCGGGUAGGACUACCCGCUGAA